GACGAACGCUGGCGGCGUGCCUAAUACAUGCAAGUAGAACGCUGAAGGAGGAGCUUGCUUCUCUGGAUGAGUUGCGAACGGGUGAGUAACGCGUAGGUAACCUGCCUGGUAGCGGGGGAUAACUAUUGGAAACGAUAGCUAAUACCGCAUAAGAGUAGAUAUCGCAUGACAUUUGCUUAAAAGGUGCAAUUGCAUCACUACCAGAUGGACCUGCGUUGUAUUAGCUAGUUGGUGAGGUAACGGCUCACCAAGGCAACGAUACAUAGCCGACCUGAGAGGGGGAUCGGCCACCCUGGGACUGAGACACGGCCCAGACUCCUACGGGAGGCAGCAGUAGGGAAUCUUCGGCAAUGGACGGAAGUCUGACCGAGCAACGCCGCGUGAGUGAAGAAGGUUUUCGGAUCGUAAAGCUCUGUUGUAAGAGAAGAACGAGUGUGAGAGUGGAAAGUUCACACUGUGACGGUAUCUUACCAGAAAGGGACGGCUAACUACGUG
Molecule: ribosomal RNA, 495 nt
Filed under: uncultured bacterium
Lineage: Bacteria
Description: partial 16S ribosomal RNA
Rfam family: Bacterial small subunit ribosomal RNA
Source: RNAcentral